GAGUGAAGCGGCAACAGCUCAAAUUUGAAAUCUGGCUCUCUUUGGGGGUCCGAGUUGUAAUUUGCAGAGGAUGCUUUGGCAUUGGCGGCGGUCUAAGUUCCUUGGAACAGGACAUCACAGAGGGUGAGAAUCCCGUACGUGGUCGCCUGCCUUUGCCGUGUAAAGCUCCUUCGACGAGUCGAGUUGUUUGGGAAUGCAGCUCUAAAUGGGAGGUAAAUUUCUUCUAAAGCUAAAUACUGGCCAGAGACCGAUAGCGCACAAGUAGAGUGAUCGAAAGAUGAAAAGUACUUUGGAAAGAGAGUCAAAAAGCACGUGAAAUUGUUGAAAGGGAAGCGCUUGCAGCCAGACUUGCCCGCAGUUGCUCACCUAGGCUUUGGCCUGGGGCACUCUUCUGCGGGCAGGCCAGCAUCAGUUUGGGCGGUUGGAUAAAGGCCUCUGUCACGUAUCUCCCUUCGGGGUGACCUUAUAGGGGAGGCGCAAUGCAACCAGCCCGGACUGAGGUCCGCGCAUCUGCUAGGAUGCUGGCGUAAUGGCUGUAAGCGGCCCGUCUUGAAACACGGACCAAGGAGUCUAACAUCUAUGCGAGUGUUUGGGUGUCAAGCCCGAGCGCGCAAUGAAAGUGAACGGAGGUGGGAACCCUUUGGGUGCACCAUCGACCGAUCCUGAUGUCUUCGGAUGGAUUUGAGUAAGAGCAUAGCUGUUGGGACCCGAAAGAUGGUGAACUAUGCUUGAAUAGGGUGAAGCCAGAGGAAACUCUGGUGGAGGCUCGCAGCGGUUCUGACGUGCAAAUCGAUCGUCAAAUUUGGGCAUAGGGGCG
RNAcentral lists this ribosomal RNA (817 nucleotides) under Curreya sp. 795_1_CY01. RNAcentral describes it as "eukaryotic LSU rRNA". It matches the Rfam family "Eukaryotic large subunit ribosomal RNA", at positions 91 to 925 of the family's 3401-position model. Lineage: Eukaryota; Fungi; Ascomycota; Dothideomycetes; Pleosporales; Cucurbitariaceae. The record is from RNAcentral.